RNAcentral lists this ribosomal RNA (755 nucleotides) under uncultured archaeon. RNAcentral describes it as "bacterial SSU rRNA". It matches the Rfam family "Archaeal small subunit ribosomal RNA", at positions 1 to 763 of the family's 1478-position model. The record is from RNAcentral.
UUCCGGUUGAUCCCGCCGGACCUGACUGCUAUCGGAUUGAUACUAAGCCAUGCGAGUCAUUGUAGCAAUACAAGGCAGACGGCUCAGUAACGCGUAGUCAACCUAACCUAUGGAUGGGAAUAACCUCGGGAAACUGAGAAUAAUGCCCAAUAGAACACUAUACCUGGAAUGGUUUGUGUUCCAAAUGAUUUAUCGCCGUAGGAUGGGACUGCGGCCUACCAGUUUGUUGGUGAGGUAAUGGCCCACCAAGACUAUUACAGGUACGGGCUCUGAGAGGAGUAGCCCGGAGAUGGGUACUGAGACACGGACCCAGGCCCUAUGGGGCGCAGCAGGCGAGAAAACUUUGCAAUGUGCGAAAGCACGACAAGGUUAAUCCGAGUGAUUUGUGCUAAACGAAUCUUUUGUUAGUCCUAGAAACACUAACGAAUAAGGGGUGGGCAAGUUCUGGUGUCAGCCGCCGCGGUAAAACCAGCACCUCAAGUGGUCAGGAUGAUUAUUGGGCCUAAAGCAUCCGUAGCCGGCUCUGUAAGUUUUCGGUUAAAUCUGUAUGCUCAACAUACAGGCUGCCGGGAAUACUGCAGAGCUAGGGAGUGGGAGAGGUAGACGGUACUCGGUAGGAAGGGGUAAAAUCCUUUGAUCUAUUGAUGACCACCUGUGGCGAAGGCGGUCUACCAGAACACGUCCGACGGUGAGGGAUGAAAGCUGGGGGAGCAAACCGGAUUAGAUACCCGGGUAGUCCCAGCUGUAAACUAUGC